AGUGAACGCUGGCGGUAGGCCUAACACAUGCCAGUCGAACGGCAGCACAGUAAGAGCUUGCUCUUACGGGUGGCGAGUGGCGGACGGGUGAGGAAUACAUCGGAAUCUACUUUUUCGUGGGGGAUAACGUAGGGAAACUUACGCUCAUACCGCAUACGACCUACGGGUGAAAGCAGGGGAUCUUCGGACCUUGCGCGAUUGGAUGCGCCGCUGUCGGAUUAGCUAGUUGGCGGGGUAAAGGCCCACCAAGGCGACGAUCCGUAGCUGGUCUGAGAGGAUGAUCAGCCACACUGGAACUGAGACACGGUCCAGACUCCUACGGGAGGCAGCAGUGGGGAAUAUUGGGCAAUGGGCGCAAGCCUGAUCCAGCCAUACCGCGUGGGUGAAGAAGGCCUUCGGGUUGUAAAGCCCUUUUGUUGGGAAAGAAAAGCAGCAGGUUAAUACCCCGCUGUUCUGACGGUACCCAAAGAAUAAGCACCGGCUAACUUCGUG
RNAcentral lists this ribosomal RNA (492 nucleotides) under uncultured bacterium. RNAcentral describes it as "partial 16S ribosomal RNA". It matches the Rfam family "Bacterial small subunit ribosomal RNA", at positions 29 to 507 of the family's 1533-position model. The record is from RNAcentral.